UGGCUCAGAGGUUAAAGCGCCUGCCUGGAAUGCGGGAGACCCAGGUUCGAUCCCUGG
Molecule: transfer RNA, 57 nt
Filed under: Ovis aries (sheep)
Lineage: Eukaryota; Metazoa; Chordata; Mammalia; Artiodactyla; Bovidae
Rfam family: tRNA
About the family: Transfer RNA (tRNA) molecules are approximately 80 nucleotides in length. Their secondary structure includes four short double-helical elements and three loops (D, anti-codon, and T loops). Further hydrogen bonds mediate the characteristic L-shaped molecular structure. tRNAs have two regions of fundamental functional importance: the anti-codon, which is responsible for specific mRNA codon recognition, and the 3' end, to which the tRNAs corresponding amino acid is attached (by aminoacyl-tRNA synthetases). tRNAs cope with the degeneracy of the genetic code in two manners: having more than one tRNA (with a specific anti-codon) for a particular amino acid; and 'wobble' base-pairing, i.e. permitting non-standard base-pairing at the 3rd anti-codon position.
Source: Rfam by way of RNAcentral